This 843-nucleotide ribosomal RNA is filed under the name Marinobacterium sp. HDC29. Its description in RNAcentral is "bacterial SSU rRNA". It matches the Rfam family "Bacterial small subunit ribosomal RNA", at positions 372 to 1204 of the family's 1533-position model. The record is from RNAcentral. Lineage: Bacteria; Pseudomonadati; Pseudomonadota; Gammaproteobacteria; Oceanospirillales; Oceanospirillaceae.
UGGGGGCACCCUGAUCCAGCCAUGCCGCGUGUGUGAAGAAGGCCUUCGGGUUGUAAAGCACUUUCAGAUGUGAGGAAAGGUAUGUGGUUAAUACCCGCAUACUGUGACGUUAACAUCAGAAGAAGGACCGGCUAACUCCGUGCCAGCAGCCGCGGUAAUACGGAGGGUCCGAGCGUUAAUCGGAAUUACUGGGCGUAAAGCGCGCGUAGGUGGUUCAGUCAGUCAGAUGUGAAAGCCCCGGGCUCAACCUGGGAAUUGCACCUGAUACUGCUGAGCUAGAGUACGGUAGAGGGUAGUGGAAUUUCCGGUGUAGCGGUGAAAUGCGUAGAGAUCGGAAGGAACACCAGUGGCGAAGGCGACUACCUGGACCGAUACUGACACUGAGGUGCGAAAGCGUGGGUAGCAAACAGGAUUAGAUACCCUGGUAGUCCACGCCGUAAACGAUGUCAACUAGCCGUUGGGGGACUUGAUCCUUUAGUGGCGCAGCUAACGCGAUAAGUUGACCGCCUGGGGAGUACGGCCGCAAGGUUAAAACUCAAAUGAAUUGACGGGGGCCCGCACAAGCGGUGGAGCAUGUGGUUUAAUUCGAAGCAACGCGAAGAACCUUACCUACUCUUGACAUCCUGCGAACUUGGUAGAGAUACCUUGGUGCCUUCGGGAACGCAGAGACAGGUGCUGCAUGGCUGUCGUCAGCUCGUGUUGUGAAAUGUUGGGGUUAAGUCCCGUAACGAGCGCAACCCCUAUCCUUAUUUGCCAGCACUUCGGGUGGGAACUCUAAAGGAGACUGCCGGUGACAAACCGGAGGAAGGGUGGGGGAUGACGUCAAGUCAUCAUGGGCCCUUA